UACGUAGGGACCGAGCGUUAUCCGGAAUUAUUGGGCGUAAAGAGCUCGUAGGCGGUUUGUCGCGUCUGCUGUGAAAACUGGAGGCUCAACCUCCAGCCUGCAGUGGGUACGGGCAAACUAGAGUGCGGUAGGGGAGAUUGGAAUUCCUGGUGUAGCGGUGGAAUGCGCAGAUAUCAGGAGGAACACCGAUGGCGAAGGCAGAUCUCUGGGCCGUAACUGACGCUGAGGAGCGAAAGCAUGGGGAGCGAACAGG
This 253-nucleotide ribosomal RNA is filed under the name uncultured bacterium. RNAcentral's name for it is "partial 16S ribosomal RNA". It matches the Rfam family "Bacterial small subunit ribosomal RNA", at positions 524 to 776 of the family's 1533-position model. The record is from RNAcentral.